GCCAGCAGCCAUAUCAGCCUGCAACUCAAAACUGGCAAACCACUGAAGCAGGUGUGAGCCUGUCCAGUACCUGGAUGGGAGACCUCCUGGGAAAAACCAAGGUUGCUGCUGAAA
RNAcentral lists this ribosomal RNA (114 nucleotides) under Lepisosteus oculatus (spotted gar). Lineage: Eukaryota; Metazoa; Chordata; Actinopteri; Semionotiformes; Lepisosteidae. The record is from RNAcentral.